RNAcentral lists this ribosomal RNA (461 nucleotides) under Streptococcus mitis. RNAcentral describes it as "bacterial SSU rRNA". It matches the Rfam family "Bacterial small subunit ribosomal RNA", at positions 28 to 473 of the family's 1533-position model. Lineage: Bacteria; Bacillati; Bacillota; Bacilli; Lactobacillales; Streptococcaceae. The record is from RNAcentral.
GACGAACGCUGGCGGCGUGCCUAAUACAUGCAAGUAGAACGCUGAAGGAGGAGCUUGCUUCUCUGGAUGAGUUGCGAACGGGUGAGUAACGCGUAGGUAACCUGCCUGGUAGCGGGGGAUAACUAUUGGAAACGAUAGCUAAUACCGCAUAAUAGCAGUUAUUGCAUGAUAACUGUUUAAAAGGUGCAAUUGCAUCACUACCAGAUGGACCUGCGUUGUAUUAGCUAGUUGGUGGGGUAACGGCUCACCAAGGCGACGAUACAUAGCCGACCUGAGAGGGUGAUCGGCCACACUGGGACUGAGACACGGCCCAGACUCCUACGGGAGGCAGCAGUAGGGAAUCUUCGGCAAUGGACGGAAGUCUGACCGAGCAACGCCGCGUGAGUGAAGAAGGUUUUCGGAUCGUAAAGCUCUGUUGUAAGAGAAGAACGAGUGUGAGAGUGGAAAGUUCACACUGUGAC